Molecule: long non-coding RNA, 583 nt
Organism: Dioscorea cayenensis subsp. rotundata (Guinea yam)
Lineage: Eukaryota; Viridiplantae; Streptophyta; Magnoliopsida; Dioscoreales; Dioscoreaceae
Exons: 2
Source: RefSeq, a predicted model, not a curated record
GGGUGAUUUUACAGACAAGUCCAAGAGUUGUCAAUGAAAGUAUAAUGUUGCAUUGAUAGACAAAUAUGGUGAUGAUAUCUCUUCCCAUCUAAGUUUUGAUAGUCAGUCAUGGUAUGAUGCAAUUGGGGGAUUAAAGGCUACACGCACAAGUGUAUAUGGUUUUGGGAGUAGGGUAGACUCAAGACAAUUGUUUAGUGCGGCAUCUACAUGUCCUUCCACAUCUGAUUCAGCAUGUGGACCUUCAACUUAUCAACCUUUUGCAACAAAUGAAUGUAUGUUGCAAACCCAGCAACUUGCGAAGAAAGUUCAGAAUUUAGAAAGUACAGUUCUUGAUAUUCAACAAGGUCAAGCAGGGUUACAAAGUAAAUUGGACAAAAUCCUGGAGUUGGUAGAACGCGGUCAUCCAACAUUAUUCUCUCAAGGAAGCCAAUCGAGAAUUAAUUCAAGGGAUGCCACUACUGGAGAUGGUGGAGAAGAUGCAUAAGUAGAUUCAGAUGAACUUUAGAAUGUUGUUGGUAACAUUUGUUUUGUUAAAGUACCUUCAAAAUUAUUUUAAUAUUUUUUGUGAUUGCUUGCAACUUUA